UUAAUGAGAGUUUGAUCCUGGCUCAGGACGAACGCUGGCGGCGUGCCUAAUACAUGCAAGUAGAACGCUGAAGAGAGGAGCUUGCUCUUCUUGGAUGAGUUGCGAACGGGUGAGUAACGCGUAGGUAACCUGCCUUGUAGCGGGGGAUAACUAUUGGAAACGAUAGCUAAUACCGCAUAACAAUGGAUGACACAUGUCAUUUAUUUGAAAGGGGCAAUUGCUCCACUACAAGAUGGACCUGCGUUGUAUUAGCUAGUAGGUGAGGUAACGGCUCACCUAGGCGACGAUACAUAGCCGACCUGAGAGGGUGAUCGGCCACACUGGGACUGAGACACGGCCCAGACUCCUACGGGAGGCAGCAGUAGGGAAUCUUCGGCAAUGGGGGCAACCCUGACCGAGCAACGCCGCGUGAGUGAAGAAGGUUUUCGGAUCGUAAAGCUCUGUUGUAAGUCAAGAACGAGUGUGAGAGUGGAAAAUUCACACUGUGACGGUAGCUUACCAGAAAGGGACGGCUAACUACGUGCCAGCAGCCGCGGUAAUACGUAGGUCCCGAGCGUUGUCCGGAUUUAUUGGGCGUAAAGCGAGCGCAGGCGGUUUGAUAAGUCUGAAGUUAAAGGCUGUGGCUCAACCAUAGUUCGCUUUGGAAACUGUCAAACUUGAGUGCAGAAGGGGAGAGUGGAAUUCCAUGUGUAGCGGUGAAAUGCGUAGAUAUAUGGAGGAACACCGGUGGCGAAAGCGGCUCUCUGGUCUGUAACUGACGCUGAGGCUCGAAAGCGUGGGGAGCGAACAGGAUUAGAUACCCUGGUAGUCCACGCCGUAAACGAUGAGUGCUAGGUGUUGGAUCCUUUCCGGGAUUCAGUGCCGCAGCUAACGCAUUAAGCACUCCGCCUGGGGAGUACGACCGCAAGGUUGAAACUCAAAGGAAUUGACGGGGGCCCGCACAAGCGGUGGAGCAUGUGGUUUAAUUCGAAGCAACGCGAAGAACCUUACCAGGUCUUGACAUCCCGAUGCUAUUUCUAGAGAUAGAAAGUUACUUCGGUACAUCGGUGACAGGUGGUGCAUGGUUGUCGUCAGCUCGUGUCGUGAGAUGUUGGGUUAAGUCCCGCAACGAGCGCAACCCCUAUUGUUAGUUGCCAUCAUUCAGUUGGGCACUCUAGCGAGACUGCCGGUAAUAAACCGGAGGAAGGUGGGGAUGACGUCAAAUCAUCAUGCCCCUUAUGACCUGGGCUACACACGUGCUACAAUGGUUGGUACAACGAGUUGCGAGUCGGUGACGGCAAGCUAAUCUCUUAAAGCCAAUCUCAGUUCGGAUUGUAGGCUGCAACUCGCCUACAUGAAGUCGGAAUCGCUAGUAAUCGCGGAUCAGCACGCCGCGGUGAAUACGUUCCCGGGCCUUGUACACACCGCCCGUCACACCACGAGAGUUUGUAACACCCGAAGUCGGUGAGGUAACCUUUUGGAGCCAGCCGCCUAAGGUGGGAUAGAUGAUUGGGGUGAAGUCGUAACAAGGUAGCCGUAUCGGAAGGUGCGGCUGGAUCACCUCCUUUCUAAGGAA
RNAcentral lists this ribosomal RNA (1555 nucleotides) under Streptococcus salivarius. RNAcentral describes it as "bacterial SSU rRNA". It matches the Rfam family "Bacterial small subunit ribosomal RNA". Lineage: Bacteria; Bacillati; Bacillota; Bacilli; Lactobacillales; Streptococcaceae. The record is from RNAcentral. RNAcentral also lists the same sequence under 3 other names.